RNA transcript from Oreochromis aureus, 2880 nucleotides. It is a transcript of the gene named spermatogenesis-associated protein 48, with no coding region annotated. NCBI's taxonomy places the organism in Eukaryota, Metazoa, Chordata, Actinopteri, Cichliformes, Cichlidae. The record is from RefSeq and is a predicted model, not a curated record. The transcript has 11 exons.
UAUGUCAGAACCGGUACCCAUCCCAACUGCCAAAGUUAGCUUUUGAAACAACAGCUCAGCUCAUUUCAUGUCAUAAUAUGGUUUUAUAACAUAUAUAAAGGUUAUUCUGCAAUUAAAUUAUUACAGCAACUGAAAGCAUAAAAUACCUGGAGCAGCUACUAAAGAGCAUCGGUAAUAGCUAGUUGAGACUGGGAGCUGGUCAGCAGGGACCAUGGCUGUUAUUUGCUCCAGGGCCUGCUUGCAGGGUUCAAGUGAUCCUGUUAAAAUUCAACCUCACUCACUGAGGACACCAACAACAGUGACGAUCAGGAACAAUCUGCCUGAUACACAUCCUGGAAAUCAGGAUCCAGGAGUCGGGCCAGAUAUCUCACCUGCAGUUCGACACUUCAGAUACACUUCUGCAACACAGAGGAGUUAUGAGGACGUUGGAUGGAUUACAAAGGUACCGCGGCACUUGAAGGCACCAGAAGCAACCCUGGAGAAACUGGCAGACCCAGUGAGUGAGCGUGCCUCACUGAGGCGCUACAACAGCCGACCUCAGCUGUGGCAGUCUGUAGGAGCCGAGUGGAACAGGCGACAGCUUCGACUGAGGAAUGAUGCCAAGAAACCAAUAUCUUUCUGCAGUACAUAUCCAAGAUCAGGUCAGAUCCCUCUGUACACUGGCACCGUCGGCUCUGAGAACAUGGAUAACAUUGACAACAUGGAUGAAGACUUCCACCCACUGACAGUGAAGAGGAGCGUCGUUCCUCCACACACGCCGACAGCACGCCGAACCACCAUCCCUGGCUACACAGGCAUGGCUGCCUAUGCUGACUCUGCUGCUCCUGCAACUUCUGCAGGUUCAUCUGGAGCAUUCGAAGAACUUGGAACUUCUGUUUUCAGGCACACGGCGCCCCUGUCCAGAACGGUGACCGCCGUGCCUCCCUGCAACCCCUUCAUGAGACCUGUGCUUCCUGUCUGGUGCACAAGCGCCACAGCAAGACUUUAGACAAACGAGAUGAGAGAGAGCUCGAAGGUGUCAGCUUCCUAUUCACGCCAUCCAAUCUGUUUAUAUGAAUACAUCUACGAUGAUGUGAUGUCAGUGAGUUAUUCAGAAUGUUACCAGUUAAUGCAUCGCUGAGAACAUUGGUGAGUAAAGUGAAUUAUGUGCAUGGAAAGGUUAAGAUUUAUCCCUUUUCCUUUAUGCUGCUGUGACUCCAGUGAAUCUAGAGGCAGCACCCUUCCUUUUGGCACGAUAUCAGCUCACGGCUCUGUUGGUGAUUGAUGUCUAACAGCCACAGAUUAUUAUGCUAAACAACUAAUGCUAAAAAACAGCUGUUAGUUUUGUUAAAGCGAGCCUUUUCAGUUGUAAUUAGUGCUGUUUUGCAUUGAUUUUAUGACUUUUGAAAGAGACUAGAAAGUUGAGGAAUUAACUCCUUGGCUUUCUUGCACAUUUAGAUAGCAGGACUCUCUUAACAGCUUAGCUUAGCGUACAAAUGCAUGAAAUUGCAGAGGACAACGCCAAUUUUUAAAGCUCACUAUUUAACCCCUAAUAAUGUGGCUGUCUGCAGCCAUGUUUCUAGUAUUUAUUUCACCUGGUGGUACAAUACAUAUUCAGCGUACAACACGACAGUGGUAAUAAUCUUGAGAGUGAGACGGCCUCACUGUAUAGCACCCAAUUUACUUUGUGUUUAAGACCAACAGGACUACGUAAGACUUCUCAUAGCAAUCAUAACUCUAUUUGCUAAAAACCUCCUCCUCCUCCUCCUCCAGCUUAGAUUUUCCAGCCUGUGGUCUGAAUCUCAUCACCGGCUCCUUUUCAAAACAGGCUCACAAACACCAUGAUUGAUUCAGCCACUAUCCUCCAGGAUCUCUCAAUGCUUGCCCGGGCUGCAGAUUAAUUUCCUUUUCCUCAUCUUAAUUUUUACUCAUCGCCGCUCCAUAAAAAGGCUAAAUGUCAAGCAUGCCUGACUCCUUCUAGUGACACGUCUAUUCCAGCAGAUAAUUACCAUAAGGAAAUUGAUGCUUUAGUGUGCAGAGGGGAAUUUAAUUUACUCUGACAUCCUCGCAGCAUAAUGCAUUCCUAAAGAAAGAGAGUUUUUCACUUUGCAAUUGACUUUUUAGAUAAAUUGGACUAUUUAAUGUGAUUAUCGGUCUUGAACGUCUUUGACUUAUUAAGGUGUUGAAACCAAUUAAGGGUUACAUGCUGCUCAUGCUUCCAAAUGUGAAACAGUGAAUACUGCUUAAAGAUCCAUGAAAUAAGAACCGUCCGCAGCCUAUUGUAUGUUAGUCAGCCGGCUACAUUGCCUGAUGAUGUUUUGAGGCUUGCUAGAUAAUGAUAUUAAUUACAACAACAUGGCUUGCUUCAGGUUGUGGAUUAACCUGAGAGAGCAAAGGGUUCUGUGCAGUUUGAGUCACACUCCAUGCAUGUCACAUGUGUCAUUUUCGAUGCUACAGAGUUAUAAUAACCUUAUAAAACCUUGAAGUUCGAGAGCAUUUCCAAACGACCAGUAAGAAUUGAACAAGUCAGGCAUUAGAGGGAAGAUCUGAAUAUUGAUCCCACUUCUGCUGGUACUUCUCUAAAGUUUCGGCUGAAGUGAAGCUGCUGUGUCACUGAACAGGACAGCAUCUCUUAUCGCAGGCGAUCACAGCCAUGAACCGACAUCUUCGAGUUCGCCAGUAGCGCUGAGUCACAUUUUUCGUCCCAGCCUUCCCUUUGCAUGACCUCAGGAGUUAACCCAUCUUGCAGCGUGUUCACACCUUUGCAUGUCAUGCGUUAAAACGGACCUUACAGAAGAAAAAAAAAAAGCAACACCGACUGUGAGGCUAUGAGGAAGUCAGCGAGCGUUGCUGCAAUCCAUAUUAUGGCCAUGAAGACACAGCAGGCCGCAUUGCUCCUGC